This is a long non-coding RNA of Caretta caretta (loggerhead turtle), 769 nucleotides long. RefSeq lists it as uncharacterized. Lineage: Eukaryota; Metazoa; Chordata; Testudines; Cheloniidae. The record is from RefSeq and is a predicted model, not a curated record.
CUGGAGAACGAGCUCCCGUCCACGGCGACCCAGAUCCCCACGCCCAGGAGUGCCCCUCCGCCAAGCUAGGAGGCGAGAGAGAGAGCUCCUGACGUGGUUUCCUGAGCUUUGACACAAACCCAACUCCACGCGGGCUGGCGGUGCACGGAUCUGCUGAGAGAAGCUGCGUCGAUCAGGAACGAACCCACCAGCGCUCAGAUAGGCCAAGACAAGCUGAGCCUUUCCAGGUUCAAUCAGAGCUGAAACCAGCUGUGGUGGGACUGUGUUUUUGCCCUGACUGCUUAGAGCUUAAAAUCACGGGACAGCUAAAGUCACUUGAGAUGGGGCAGUGUUUCUGCCCAGCCUGCACAAGAGCUGAAAAUCACGGAGAGACGGAUGUGCAGAGGUCACAGAAGAGAGACAGAAGGUGACUGACAGCCAGCAGGGCGGCGGCGGAGAGACACGACAAGCAGCCAGCAGGGUGGCUGGUGGAAGGGUGCCGUGAGCAGGCACCCGGUUAGCCGUGGAGUGAAUAAGGUGCCUCUUUACUCGCCACCCAGAGGGGGAAGUGAACUCUGCAGAUGCACCUCUGAACUCUGGGUCGGCUCUGACCAAGGAUAGCAACUGUGAGUGGGGUGCAGAGAAGGGUCGGGCAGGUGAAAGGGACUUUUGGGUUGCUGGACUUAAGAACCUUAAGAGGGGAAAAGGACACGGCCCAACCUACCUGAGGGUGGGUCUUUUACUCAUGGUUUAUGUUUAUAAACCCUGUUUGUGGUGUUUUCCCAAAUUA